AGAGUUUGAUCCUGGCUCAGAUUGAACGCUGGCGGCAGGCUUAACACAUGCAAGUCGAGCGGGGAAAGGUAGCUUGCUACCUUACCUAGCGGCGGACGGGUGAGUAAUGCUUAGGAAUCUGCCUAUUAGUGGGGGACAACAUUUCGAAAGGAAUGCUAAUACCGCAUACGCCCUACGGGGGAAAGCAGGGGACCUUCGGGCCUUGCGCUAAUAGAUGAGCCUAAGUCGGAUUAGCUAGUUGGUGGGGUAAAGGCCUACCAAGGCGACGAUCUGUAGCGGGUCUGAGAGGAUGAUCCGCCACACUGGGACUGAGACACGGCCCAGACUCCUACGGGAGGCAGCAGUGGGGAAUAUUGGACAAUGGGGGGAACCCUGAUCCAGCCAUGCCGCGUGUGUGAAGAAGGCCUUUUGGUUGUAAAGCACUUUAAGCGAGGAGGAGGCUACUUAGAUUAAUACUCUAGGAUAGUGGACGUUACUCGCAGAAUAAGCACCGGCUAACCCUGUGCCAGCAGCCGCGGUAAUACAGAGGGUGCAAGCGUUAAUCGGAUUUACUGGGCGUAAAGCGUGCGUAGGUGGCCAAUUAAGUCAAAUGUGAAAUCCCCGAGCUUAACUUGGGAAUUGCAUUCGAUACUGGUUGGCUAGAGUAUGGGAGAGGAUGGUAGAAUUCCAGUGUAGCGGUGAAAUGCGUAGAGAUCUGGAGGAAUACCGAUGGCGAAGCAGCCAUCUGGCC
RNAcentral lists this ribosomal RNA (730 nucleotides) under uncultured bacterium. RNAcentral's name for it is "bacterial SSU rRNA". It matches the Rfam family "Bacterial small subunit ribosomal RNA", at positions 8 to 734 of the family's 1533-position model. The record is from RNAcentral.